This 82-nucleotide transfer RNA is filed under the name Burkholderia vietnamiensis. RNAcentral describes it as "tRNA-Val". The record is from RNAcentral. Lineage: Bacteria; Pseudomonadati; Pseudomonadota; Betaproteobacteria; Burkholderiales; Burkholderiaceae.
GCGUAGGCGGGCGGUCGGGAUCGCUGCCGGGCGCCGACGGCGCCCGCGGCGCCGGCGUGGGUUGCGCAUCCACGUCGACGCG